AUUGAACGCUGGCGGCAUGCCUUACACAUGCAAGUCGAACGGUAACGCGGGGCAACCUGGCGACGAGUGGCGAACGGGUGAGUAAUGCAUCGGAACGUACCCAGUAGUGGGGGAUAGCCCGGCGAAAGCCGGAUUAAUACCGCAUACGACCUACGGGUGAAAGGGGGGGAUCGCAAGACCUCUCGCUAUUGGAGCGGCCGAUGUCAGAUUAGGUAGUUGGUGGGGUAAAAGCCUACCAAGCCUGUGAUCUGUAGCUGGUCUGAGAGGACGACCAGCCACGCUGGGACUGAGACACGGCCCAGACUCCUACGGGAGGCAGCAGUGGGGAAUUUUGGACAAUGGGCGCAAGCCUGAUCCAGCAAUGCCGCGUGCGGGAAGAAGGCCU
RNAcentral lists this ribosomal RNA (385 nucleotides) under uncultured bacterium. RNAcentral describes it as "bacterial SSU rRNA". It matches the Rfam family "Bacterial small subunit ribosomal RNA", at positions 29 to 417 of the family's 1533-position model. The record is from RNAcentral.